AAAGCGUGAAGAAACGAACCAUUUUUAGACAUCAUUGAAAACAACAAGACAGGAUGCAUUUCCUGAAAGAAUUUUUUCUUUUGUUUU
Non-coding RNA from Brugia malayi, 87 nucleotides. NCBI's taxonomy places the organism in Eukaryota, Metazoa, Nematoda, Chromadorea, Rhabditida, Onchocercidae. The record is from RefSeq and is a predicted model, not a curated record.